This 66-nucleotide transfer RNA is filed under the name Mastinocerus sp. MAS01. Its description in RNAcentral is "tRNA-Gly". The record is from RNAcentral. Lineage: Eukaryota; Metazoa; Arthropoda; Insecta; Coleoptera; Phengodidae.
AUUUAUAUAAUAUAAGUGAUUAUUUUUAACUUCCAAUUAAAAAAUUUAGACAACCUAAUAUAAAUA